UACGUAGGGUGCAAGCGUUGUCCGGAAUUAUUGGGCGUAAAGAGCUCGUAGGCGGUUUGUCGCGUCGGCUGUGAAAACCUGGGGCUCAACCCCGGGCCUGCAGCCGAUACGGGCAGGCUAGAGUUCGGUAGGGGAGACUGGAAUUCCUGGUGUAGCGGUGAAAUGCGCAGAUAUCAGGAGGAACACCGGUGGCGAAGGCGGGUCUCUGGGCCGAUACUGACGCUGAGGAGCGAAAGCGUGGGGAGCGAACAGG
RNAcentral lists this ribosomal RNA (253 nucleotides) under uncultured bacterium. RNAcentral describes it as "partial 16S ribosomal RNA". It matches the Rfam family "Bacterial small subunit ribosomal RNA", at positions 524 to 776 of the family's 1533-position model. The record is from RNAcentral.